GAAAACCGAAGGCCAUGCUUGCGCCGGAGUUCGCAUCCGCGCGCGUGCGUUGAUGAGGAUUGAGGGCGAUGAAGUUAUCCUCUCAGACCGAGCCUUUUCUUGUUCGAUUCUUUUUCUUUGUAGUUCACGAUUGAUCAAUUCUUCGUGAGAUUCGUGAACAUCUCGUCUUCGCCGUGAAUCGCGUGGUGGCCGAAACUCUAGUAGCCAACUUGUCCAGACUUCUCCAGUCAUCGUCUGCGACAAUUGCAGAUCGCCAGACUGGCUUCCUCUGGCCAUAGAGAGGCCUUGCCGUUUGCCGCCACUGCCGUCGGGAGUCAUGUGGCGAAUUCAAGCGCCAGAGGGCGCCGCUUCGACGCGCCUACAGAGGAGGGCGUCGUCAACCAUGGGGUGCCUCAGCCGCCUGCGUUGCGUGCUGGUGCUGCGCCGCUGGAGCACUGUUGAGGCCGAGGGUCCUUGUGUCCUUGGGGCCGGAGGGAGUCGCCGCCACAACCGUGUAUCAGGCCGAUGGUCAGGGACGGUGGUGUCAUCGAGUUCUUGGCCUAAUUGCUCUCUGGAAGAGGCGUGCGUGAUAACGUGUAAACAGAAAAGGGGAGAGAGAGAGAGAUAGGAAUGGAAUGAACAGUGUUUCUCGUUGAUUGAAGACCGGGUAUUUAUACCCACUUUACAAGGCAGUUAGGAUUACAAUGUCGGUAA
Triticum dicoccoides is the source of this 693-nucleotide long non-coding RNA. RefSeq lists it as uncharacterized. The record is from RefSeq and is a predicted model, not a curated record. The transcript is spliced from 2 exons. Lineage: Eukaryota; Viridiplantae; Streptophyta; Magnoliopsida; Poales; Poaceae.